GAUGAACGCUGGCGGCGUGCUUAACACAUGCAAGUCGAGCGAAGCGUUUCUGUGGAAUUUUUCGGAAGGAAGCAGGAAUGACUUAGCGGCGGACGGGUGAGUAACGCGUGGGCAACCUGCCUCGUACAGGGGGAUAACAGUUAGAAAUGACUGCUAAAACCGCAUAAGCGCACAGCAGCGCAUGCUGCAGUGUGAAAAACUCCGGCGGUACGGGAUGGGCCCGCGUCUGAUUAGCUUGUUGGCGGGGUAACGGCCCACCAAGGCAGCGAUCAGUAGCCGAUCUGAGAGGAUGGCCGGCCACAUUGGGACUGAGACACGGCCCAA
RNAcentral lists this ribosomal RNA (324 nucleotides) under uncultured bacterium. Its description in RNAcentral is "bacterial SSU rRNA". It matches the Rfam family "Bacterial small subunit ribosomal RNA", at positions 28 to 334 of the family's 1533-position model. The record is from RNAcentral.